UUGCUAGUUACCAUCAUUAAGUUUGGGGACUCUAGCGAGACUGCCAGUGAUAAACUGGAGGAAGGUGGGGAUGACGUCAAAUCAUCAUGCCCCUUAUGACCUGGGCUACAAACGUGAUACAAUGGCUGGAACAAAGGGAUGCGAAGCAGUGAUGUGGAGCGAAACCCAUAAAAACAGUCUCAGUUCGGAUUGAAGUCUGCAACUCGACUUCAUGAAGUCGGAAUCGCUAGUAAUCGCGGAUCAGAACGCCGCGGUGAAUACGUUCUCGGGGUUU
RNAcentral lists this ribosomal RNA (274 nucleotides) under uncultured Acholeplasma sp. RNAcentral describes it as "partial 16S ribosomal RNA". It matches the Rfam family "Bacterial small subunit ribosomal RNA", at positions 1108 to 1382 of the family's 1533-position model. Lineage: Bacteria; Bacillati; Mycoplasmatota; Mollicutes; Acholeplasmatales; Acholeplasmataceae. The record is from RNAcentral.